AUUGAACGCUGGCGGCAUGCCUUACACAUGCCAGUCGAACGGCAGCACGGGUGCUUGCCCCUGGUGGCGAGUGGCGAACGGGGGAGUGAUACAUCGGAACAUGUCCUCUAGUGGGGGAGAGCCCGUCGAAAGCCGGAUUAAUACCGCAGACGAUCUACGUAUGAAAGCGGGGGACCUUCGGACCUCGCGCUAUAGGGUUGGCCGAUAGCUGAUUAGCUAGUUGGUGGGGUAAUGGCCUACCAAGGCGACGAUCAGUAGCUGGUCUGAGAGGACGACCAGCCACACUGGAACUGAGACACGGCCCAGACUCCUACGGGAGGCAGCAGUGGGGAAUUUUGGACAAUGGGCGAAAGCCUGAUCCAGCAAUGCCGCGUGUGUGAAGAAGGCCUUCGGGUUGUAAAGCACUUUUGUCCGGAAAGAAAACCUUGGCUCUAAUACAGUCGGGGGAUGACGGUACCGGAAGAAUAAGCACCGGCUAACUACGUG
This 486-nucleotide ribosomal RNA is filed under the name uncultured bacterium. RNAcentral's name for it is "partial 16S ribosomal RNA". It matches the Rfam family "Bacterial small subunit ribosomal RNA", at positions 30 to 507 of the family's 1533-position model. The record is from RNAcentral.